CAAAACUCAGGGGAAAAAAAUGCUACCUCUUCUAUGAAGCUCUCCCUGAAAAUCCCAUCUGGUCUCCCCAGGACACUUCUUGUUUUCCAUUCCUAUUGCUUCCAGGAGAGGCACUGAUGGACUGGAAAAAGAAGGGAUUAGAGGCCCAGGAGAUUGGAGUACCCAUGGAGUAAGCAUUGGUCAUGAUAAGACACUGGAAUGAAGGCACUUCAGAUUUUAAAGAGUAUAAUGUUUUGUGAUGACAAGUUCUGGGGUGUGGCUAGAGCAAUGUGAUGCAAGAGUGGACUAGAGAAGAUUGACUAAUACCUGGCAGGCAAUUCAAUUUAAGGCAGAAGAAAUUGCCAAGUCCUGCAUAAAUGUUUCAAAGGUGACAACAUGUCAAGAUGGACCAUGAAGAGCUUAACUUUUAUGAGUAACAUAUCUGUCAAAAGCUUCAGGCUGACUUUCAAGAAAAGCUGUUUAACUUUCAGUGCUACGUAAUUUAAUGAAGGAAAAAUAUGGAAUUAUUAGUUUGACCAAAUAGGAAAUGCAGAAGAAACGCUAAUAUUUUCAAUAUCUCUCAGAAUUAUACUGUCAAUCUUCAAGAGCUAAAGAAACCAAAAUGAUGAGCACUAGUUAUGAGAAACAGCUUGUCACCAUGAUGCCAGGCAUAUCUGCUAGGGCGCUAAAGUAAAUCCAGAGAUUCUUUAAACACCAUAUACAAACAAAUUUUCAACUCUAACUUUGCUGGUUACACUUAAGAAGAAAGUUAGUCUAUAAUUAUAUGGAUAUAUGAAUGCUUUUGUCGGUUAUUAAAAGUAAAUACUAACACAA
Molecule: long non-coding RNA, 813 nt
Organism: Pteropus alecto (black flying fox)
Lineage: Eukaryota; Metazoa; Chordata; Mammalia; Chiroptera; Pteropodidae
Exons: 4
Source: RefSeq, a predicted model, not a curated record